This 368-nucleotide unclassified non-coding RNA is filed under the name uncultured fungus. RNAcentral describes it as "partial contains small subunit ribosomal RNA, internal transcribed spacer 1, and 5.8S ribosomal RNA". The stretch from base 1 to 73 matches the Rfam family "Eukaryotic small subunit ribosomal RNA", at positions 1759 to 1831 of the family's 1831-position model. Lineage: Eukaryota; Fungi. The record is from RNAcentral.
UCAAACUUGGUCAUUUAGAGGAAGUAAAAGUCGUAACAAGGUUUCCGUAGGUGAACCUGCGGAAGGAUCAUUAUUGAAUAAACUUGGUUUAGGCUGUUGCUGACCCUUGUCGGUAUGUGCACGCCUACUCCGACUUUAUAACCACCUGUGCACCAUGUGUAGAUCUGAAAAACUCCUCGAGUAAAACUCGGUUUAAAGGAUUGCUGUGCGCAUUGCAGGCUCUUCUUUAUAUUUCAGUUCUAUUUUUUUGUUACUAUACUCCAUUUUAAGUAUUUGGAUGAGAUAGAUAGGCAUUUCGCAUGCCUGUAAACCUAUAUAUAACUUUCAACAACGGAUCUCUUGGCUCUCGCAUCGAUGAAGAACGCAGC